GAGUUUGAUCAUGGCUCAGGAUGAACGCUGGCGGCGUGCUUAACACAUGCAAGUCGAACGAAGUAGCAAUACUUAGUGGCAGACGGGUGAGUAACAUGUGGGUAUCUGCCCUUUGGCCUGGAAUAACACGAGGAAACUUGUGCUAAUACCGGAUAAGUCUUUACGGAGAAAGCUUUAUGCACCAUUGGAUGAGCCCGCACUUGAUUAGUUUGUUGGUAGGGUAAUGGCCUACCAAGACUGUGAUCAAUAGCUGAUUUGAGAGGAUGAUCAGC
This 272-nucleotide ribosomal RNA is filed under the name uncultured Alphaproteobacteria bacterium. RNAcentral's name for it is "partial 16S ribosomal RNA". It matches the Rfam family "Bacterial small subunit ribosomal RNA", at positions 9 to 308 of the family's 1533-position model. Lineage: Bacteria; Pseudomonadati; Pseudomonadota; Alphaproteobacteria. The record is from RNAcentral.